RNAcentral lists this non-coding RNA (156 nucleotides) under uncultured Butyricimonas sp. Lineage: Bacteria; Pseudomonadati; Bacteroidota; Bacteroidia; Bacteroidales; Odoribacteraceae. The record is from RNAcentral.
GAAGUAACGCUUAAUAGGGAAUCCGGUGUAAGUCCGGAACUGUACCCGCAGCUGUAAGUUCCUUUUAUAAGGGAUUUUGUACUUCAAAUGUCACUGGUUAUAAACUGGGAAGGCAACAAAAUCCGGAACAAGUCAGAAGACCUGCCGAACAAGAUA